UGCCAGCCGCCGCGGUAAGACGGAGGGUGCAAGCGUUGCUCGGAAUCACUGGGCGUAAAGCGACCGCAGGCGGCUUGUCAGGUCCGAUGUGAAAUCCCGAGGCUCAACCUCGGACGUGCAUCGGAAACCGGCAGGCUUGAGUACGAGAGAGGAGGGCGGAAUUCCUGGUGUAGAGGUGAAAUUCGUAGAUAUCAGGAGGAACACCAGCGGCGAAGGCGGCUCUCUGGCUCGAUACUGACGCUCAUGGUCGAAAGCGUGGGGAGCAAACAGGAUUAGAUA
This 279-nucleotide ribosomal RNA is filed under the name uncultured bacterium. RNAcentral's name for it is "partial 16S ribosomal RNA". It matches the Rfam family "Bacterial small subunit ribosomal RNA", at positions 506 to 784 of the family's 1533-position model. The record is from RNAcentral.